GAGUUUGAUUCUGGCUCAGGACGAACGCUGGCGGCGUGCUUAACACAUGCAAGUCGAACGAAAAGAGGGAAAGAGCUUGCUCUUUCCGGAAUUGAGUGGCAAACGGGUGAGUAACACGUAAACAACCUGCCUUCAGGAUGGGGACAACAGACGGAAACGACUGCUAAUACCGAAUAAGUUCCAAGAGCCGCAUGGCCCAUGGAAGAAAAGGUGGCCUCUACCUGUAAGCUAUCGCCUGAAGAGGGGUUUGCGUCUGAUUAGCUGGUUGGAGGGGUAACGGCCCACCAAGGCGACGAUCAGUAGCCGGUCUGAGAGGAUGAACGGCCACACUGGAACUGAGACACGGUCCAGACUCCUACGGGAGGCAGCAGUGGGGAAUCUUCCGCAAUGGGCGAAAGCCUGACGGAGCAACGCCGCGUGAGUGAUGACGGCCUUCGGGUUGUAAAACUCUGUGAUCCGGGACGAAAAGGCAGAGUGCGAAGAACAAACUGCAU
This 494-nucleotide ribosomal RNA is filed under the name Dialister invisus. RNAcentral's name for it is "bacterial SSU rRNA". It matches the Rfam family "Bacterial small subunit ribosomal RNA", at positions 9 to 483 of the family's 1533-position model. The record is from RNAcentral. Lineage: Bacteria; Bacillati; Bacillota; Negativicutes; Veillonellales; Veillonellaceae.